Molecule: ribosomal RNA, 559 nt
Filed under: Hepatozoon sp. JPM-2014
Lineage: Eukaryota; Apicomplexa; Hepatozoidae
Description: bacterial SSU rRNA
Rfam family: Eukaryotic small subunit ribosomal RNA
Source: RNAcentral
CGGGGGAUUAGGGUUCGAUUCCGGAGAGGGAGCCUGAGAAACGGCUACCACAUCUAAGGAAGGCAGCAGGCGCGCAAAUUACCCAAUUCUAACAGUUUGAGAGAGGUAGUAACAAGAAAUAACAAUACAAGGCAGUUAAAAUGCUUUGUAAUUGGAAUGAUAGAAAUUUAAACCCUUUUUAAAGUAUCAAUUGGAGGGCAAGUCUGGUGCCAGCAGCCGCGGUAAUUCCAGCUCCAAUAGCGUAUAUUAAAAUUGUUGCAGUUAAAAAGCUCGUAGUUGAAGUUCUGCUAAAAGUAACCGGUCUGCUUUUAAUAAAGGUGGUAUCUUGGUGUGUAUUUAGCAAUGAUGUCCUUUGAAGUGUUUUUUACUUUAUUGUAAUAAAGCAUAUUCAGGACUUUUACUUUGAGAAAAUUAGAGUGUUUCUAGCAGGCUAACGCUUUGAAUACUGCAGCAUGGAAUAAUAAGAUAGGAUUUUAGUUCUACAUUAUUGGUUUUAAGAGCUAAAUUAAUGAUUGAUAGGGACAGUUGGGGGCAUUUGUAUUUAACUGUCAGAGGUGAA